GGUCGGACAUCAGGAGGUUAGUGCAAUGGCAUAAGCCAGCUUGACUGCGAGCGUGACGGCGCGAGCAGGUGCGAAAGCAGGUCAUAGUGAUCCGGUGGUUCUGAAUGGAAGGGCCAUCGCUCAACGGAUAAAAGGUACUCCGGGGAUAACAGGCUGAUACCGCCCAAGAGUUCAUAUCGACGGCGGUGUUUGGCACCUCGAUGUCGGCUCAUCACAUCCUGGGGCUGAAGUAGGUCCCAAGGGUAUGGCUGUUCGCCAUUUAAAGUGGUACGCGAGCUGGGUUUAGAACGUCGUGAGACAGUUCGGUCCCUAUCUGCCGUGGGCGCUGGAGAACUGAGGGGGGCUGCUCCUAGUACGAGAGGACCGGAGUGGACGCAUCACUGGUGUUCGGGUUGUCAUGCCAAUGGCACUGCCCGGUAGCUAAAUGCGGAAGAGAUAAGUGCUGAAAGCAUCUAAGCACGAAACUUGCCCCGAGAUGAGUUCUCCCUGACCCUUUAAGGGUCCUGAAGGAACGUUGAAGACGACGACGUUGAUAGGCCGGGUGUGUAAGCGCAGCGAUGCGUUGAGCUAAC
RNAcentral lists this ribosomal RNA (572 nucleotides) under Escherichia coli. RNAcentral describes it as "bacterial LSU rRNA". It matches the Rfam family "Bacterial large subunit ribosomal RNA", at positions 2329 to 2895 of the family's 2925-position model. Lineage: Bacteria; Pseudomonadati; Pseudomonadota; Gammaproteobacteria; Enterobacterales; Enterobacteriaceae. The record is from RNAcentral.